UCCACAGCCAUAUCAGCCUGCAAUCCAAAACUGAUUGCCCACUGAAGCUAAGCAGGGUUGAGCCUGUGAGCCUGGUCAGUAUCUGGAUGGGAGACCUCUUGGGAAAACUAGGUUGCUGCUGGAA
RNAcentral lists this ribosomal RNA (124 nucleotides) under Sinocyclocheilus rhinocerous. Lineage: Eukaryota; Metazoa; Chordata; Actinopteri; Cypriniformes; Cyprinidae. The record is from RNAcentral.